CGGUGAGCUUCUUCUCUUUUACAACCAUUUUUUCUUCUUUUCAUGUUUGAUCAUCGAUUUUUAGUUGUUUCCUGCAUUUUUUCCCUUCACACACUGACAGCCAAUGAUCAAAAUGACUGGAAUUGAUGUGCACAAACUGGUCUAAAAUAAAUAUCCUUUUUUUCCCUUCACACAUGACAGACAAUGAUCAAAAGAGUUUUAAUAUUUCAAUCUCUAAUUUAUGAUGAAACAAGAAGAAAAAUCUUACAGAAGAUUGGAAUCCUUUGUUAUAAGGUUUUUUAAAAUCUUACAGCAAUUGAAAGUUUUUACAUAUAUUAACAACAACCCACUUAGCAACAUCUAUGGAGU
RNAcentral lists this long non-coding RNA (348 nucleotides) under Gossypium raimondii (Peruvian cotton). Its description in RNAcentral is "long non-coding RNA (GRAI_LNC008456)". Lineage: Eukaryota; Viridiplantae; Streptophyta; Magnoliopsida; Malvales; Malvaceae. The record is from RNAcentral.